GUAGUCUCGCACAGAUGCAUAUCAAUAAGCGGAGGAAAAGAAACUAACAAGGAUUCCCUCAGUAACGGCGAGUGAAGCGGGAAGAGCUCAAAUUUGAAAUCUUGAAAGGUCACCUUUCACGAAUUGUAGUUUAAAGAAGUGUUUUCUGUUACGAUCGUAAUAUAAGUUCUUUGGAAUAGGACAUCACAGAGGGUGAGAAUCCCGUCUAUGAUUGCGAUUUGUAGCUUUGUGAUACACUUUCAAAGAGUCGGGUUGUUUGGGAAUGCAGCCCAAAACGGGAGGUAAAUUUCUUCUAAGGCUAAAUAUUGGCGAGAGACCGAUAGCGAACAAGUACCGUGAGGGAAAGAUGAAAAGAACUUUGAAAAGAGAGUUAAAUAGUACGUGAAAUUGUCAAAAGGGAAGCGUUUAACACCAGUGUUGUUUUCUGAAAAUCAACCUCUGUUAGCUUUAUGCAUGUUUGUUUAGACCUAAUCAGCUAUCUUGCAUGUUCUAUUGUUUGCAGUGGUGCACUUUUCAGUUUACAGGUCAACAUCAGUUUUUUUUACCGUAAAAAAGUUAAAGAAAGGUAGCUCAUGGCUCCGGUCGUGAGUGUUAUAGUCUUUUUCCUAUGCGGUAGGAGAGACUGAGGUCUGCAGUGUAGGCUAUUUGGCUAGAUACUCAGGUGCUAUGUGAUACCAUUUCGAGUAAACAACUUGUUGAUUAUGUUUUGUCUAUUGCAUACUCGCUUGUACUAUCAUACCUACGCUUAGGAUGUUGAGUCGUAGAGCACGCAG
RNAcentral lists this ribosomal RNA (773 nucleotides) under uncultured Neocallimastigales. Its description in RNAcentral is "partial large subunit ribosomal RNA". It matches the Rfam family "Eukaryotic large subunit ribosomal RNA", at positions 24 to 628 of the family's 3401-position model. The record is from RNAcentral. Lineage: Eukaryota; Fungi; Neocallimastigomycota; Neocallimastigomycetes; Neocallimastigales.